This 481-nucleotide ribosomal RNA is filed under the name uncultured bacterium. RNAcentral describes it as "partial 16S ribosomal RNA". It matches the Rfam family "Bacterial small subunit ribosomal RNA", at positions 28 to 523 of the family's 1533-position model. The record is from RNAcentral.
GGCGAACGCUGGCGGCGUGCUUAACACAUGCAAGUCGAACGAGGAAGGAGAGCUUGCUCUCCGGAUUAGUGGCGAACGGGUGAGUAACACGUGACUAACCUGCCCCUUUCUCUGGGAUAACGCUCCGAAAGGAGUGCUAAUACCGGAUACGAACUCUGAACACAUGUUCGGAGUUGGAAAGAUUUUCGGAAAGGGAUGGAGUCGCGGCCUAUCAGCUUGUUGGUGAGGUAAUGGCUCACCAAGGCGACGACGGGUAGCCGGCCUGAGAGGGCGACCGGCCACACUGGGACUGAGACACGGCCCAGACUCCUACGGGAGGCAGCAGUGGGGAAUAUUGCACAAUGGGCGAAAGCCUGAUGCAGCGACGCCGCGUGAGGGAUGAAGGUCUUCGGAUUGUAAACCUCUUUCGGUAGGGACGAAGCGAAAGUGACGGUACCUAAAGAAGAAGCACCGGCUAACUACGUGCCAGCCGCCGCGGUAA